UGGAACAAUGUUGGCAAGGGAAGUCGACAAAAUGGAUCCAUAACCUCGAGAAAAGGAUUGGCUCUGAGGGCUGGGCCCGGGGGUCCUACUCCCGAACCCGUUGGCUGUCGGCGAAUUGCUCGAGCUGCUCCCCCGGCGAACAGUCGACUCAGAACUGGUAUGGACAAGGGGAAUUCGACUGUCUAAUUAAAAAAAAGCAUUGUGAUGGUCCUUGCGGAUGCUCACGCAAUGUGAUUUCUGCCUAGUGCUCUGAAUGUCAAAGUGAAGAAGUUCAACCAAGCGUAGAUAAACGAUGGGAGUAACUAUGACUCUCUUAAGGUAGCCAAAUGCCUCGUCAUCUAAUUAGUGAUGCGCAUGAAUGGAUUAAUGAGAUUGCCACUAUCCCUGUCUACUAUCAAGUGAAACCACAGCCAAAGGAAUGGGCUUGG
Ricinus communis (castor bean) is the source of this 428-nucleotide non-coding RNA. NCBI's taxonomy places the organism in Eukaryota, Viridiplantae, Streptophyta, Magnoliopsida, Malpighiales, Euphorbiaceae. The record is from Rfam.